Molecule: non-coding RNA, 45 nt
Filed under: Schistosoma haematobium
Lineage: Eukaryota; Metazoa; Platyhelminthes; Trematoda; Strigeidida; Schistosomatidae
Source: RNAcentral
AUCCAGCUGACGAGCCCCAAAUUGGACGAAAUGCGCGUCCUGGAU